Molecule: ribosomal RNA, 253 nt
Filed under: uncultured bacterium
Lineage: Bacteria
Description: partial 16S ribosomal RNA
Rfam family: Bacterial small subunit ribosomal RNA
Source: RNAcentral
UACGUAGGGGGCAAGCGUUGUCCGGAAUCAUUGGGCGUAAAGCGCGCGUAGGCGGCCCUGUAAGUCCGCUGUAAAAGUCAAAGGCUCAACCUUUGAAAGCCGGUGGAUACUGCAGGGCUAGAGUCCGGAAGAGGCGAGUGGAAUUCCCGGUGUAGCGGUGAAAUGCGUAGAGAUCGGGAGGAAUACCGGUGGCGAAAGCGACUCUCUGGACGGCAACUGACGCUGAGGCACGAAAGCGUGGGGAGCAAACAGG